GAUGAACGCUGGCGGCGUGCCUAAUACAUGCAAGUCGAGCGAACGGACGAGAAGCUUGCUUCUCUGAUGUUAGCGGCGGACGGGUGAGUAACACGUGGAUAACCUACCUAUAAGACUGGGAUAACUUCGGGAAACCGGAGCUAAUACCGGAUAAUAUUUUGAACCGCAUGGUUCAAAAGUGAAAGACGGUCUUGCUGUCACUUAUAGAUGGACCCGCGCUGCAUUAGCUAGUUGGUAAGGUAACGGCUUACCAAGGCAACGAUGCAUAGCCGACCUGAGAGGGUGAUCGGCCACACUGGAACUGAGACACGGUCCAGACUCCUACGGGAGGCAGCAGUAGGGAAUCUUCCGCAAUGGGCGAAAGCCUGACGGAGCAACGCCGCGUGAGUGAUGAAGGUCUUCGGAUCGUAAAACUCUGUUAGUAGGGAAGAACAUAUGUGUAAGUACCUGUGCACAUCUUGACGGUACCUAAUCAGAAAGCCACGGCUAACUACGUG
This 497-nucleotide ribosomal RNA is filed under the name uncultured bacterium. Its description in RNAcentral is "partial 16S ribosomal RNA". It matches the Rfam family "Bacterial small subunit ribosomal RNA", at positions 28 to 507 of the family's 1533-position model. The record is from RNAcentral.